UAUCACUAAGCGGAGGAAAAGAAACUAACAAGGAUUCCCUUAGUAACUGCGAGUGAACAGGGAUUAGCCCAACACCGAAGCCUGCGAUUAAUUGAUCGUGAGGCAAUGUGGUGUUUAGGUUGGCUUCAGACAUUACUGCUCUGCCCCAAGUCCAGCAAUGAGUACGGCUUCCCAUUCUGGCCCAAAGAGGGUGAAAGGCCCGUGGGGGUAGAGAUCAGUGUGACAGUUCUGUUCUGAGCUACCCUUGGAGUCGGGUUGUUUGUGAAUGCAGCCCAAAGUGGGUGGUAGACUCCAUCCAAGGCUAAAUACUUACACGAGUCCGAUAGCAAACAAGUACCGUGAGGGAAAGUUGAAAAGUACUUUGAAGAGAGAGUAAACAGUGCGUGAAACCGUUCAAAGGUAAACAGGUGGAGUUGAACUGCAAGCUCUGGGAAUUCAGCUGAUGAGUGUGAUUUGUGCUUGGGCAUACUGGCCGCCUUUAGUGUCUGCUUAACCGCAGGUGCCUGCCUUUUUGGUGGGUAUGUGUGAAUCGUUUACAUACGACGCACGCACUGUUGGUGUGAGGGUCUGCUUGUCAGUGCACUUUCUCAGGGUGUUCACCACGACCGGCACUGCUGCCUGUCUGCUAUGGCCAAACUGAUCAGGUCUGAUUUCCGUCAGUCUUGGUUGGGUCGGCAGGUGACUCUUUGGCUCAUCUAUGGGCUGUGAGUGUUACUAGCCGGCUGUAGCGGASSUGUGCGGUGUGUCGGAGAUGGCGGCUUCGCAUGCGUGCCUAGACCUUCGGGCGUUGUUGAGUCUGGUCGGCUCGUUACUAGCUUCGGCUGGUCGGCUGAUGGCUUGAUUUUGUCACGUUGGCGGUUGCGUGUGUGGUUUGCGUUGGGCCAAUAGUCUGUGGUGUAGUGGUAGACGAUCCACCUGACCCGUCUUGAAACACGGACCAAGGAGUUUAACAUGUGCGCGAGUCAUUGGGUGUUACGAAACCCAAAGGCGAAGUGAAGGUAAAGGUUCGGCUUGUCCGGACUGAGGUGAGAUCCUGUUGUCUUGCUCAUACUUUCCAAGUUGCGAGCAGCGGGCGCAUCACCGGCCCGUCCCAUGACGUAGACAUGUGACCUCGUGUUGUGUGCACCGUCGGGGCGGAGCAAGAGCGUACACGUUGAGACCCGAAAGAUGGUGAACUAUGCUUGUGAAGGUUGAAGCCUGAGGAAACUCUGGUGGAGGACCGUAGCGAUUCUGACGUGCAAAUCGAUCGUAUAACGUGAGUAUAGGGGCGAAAGACUAAUCGAACUAUCUAGUAGCUGGUUCCCU
RNAcentral lists this ribosomal RNA (1305 nucleotides) under Schistosoma haematobium. Its description in RNAcentral is "eukaryotic LSU rRNA". It matches the Rfam family "Eukaryotic large subunit ribosomal RNA", at positions 41 to 960 of the family's 3401-position model. The record is from RNAcentral. Lineage: Eukaryota; Metazoa; Platyhelminthes; Trematoda; Strigeidida; Schistosomatidae.